RNAcentral lists this microRNA precursor (94 nucleotides) under Picea abies (Norway spruce). Its description in RNAcentral is "miR482t stem-loop (pab-MIR482t)". Its record names the gene pab-MIR482t. Lineage: Eukaryota; Viridiplantae; Streptophyta; Pinopsida; Pinales; Pinaceae. The record is from miRBase by way of RNAcentral.
UCCUUAUGGGAGUAGUGGAAAUGGGUGAAGUCGAAAGACCUCUUUCCAGGGCGGUCUUUCCACUUCUACCCAUUUCCGCUAUUUCACUAAGUGA